This 2907-nucleotide ribosomal RNA is filed under the name Klebsiella oxytoca. RNAcentral's name for it is "23S ribosomal RNA". It matches the Rfam family "Bacterial large subunit ribosomal RNA". Lineage: Bacteria; Pseudomonadati; Pseudomonadota; Gammaproteobacteria; Enterobacterales; Enterobacteriaceae. The record is from RNAcentral.
GGUUAAGCGACUAAGCGUACACGGUGGAUGCCCUGGCAGUCAGAGGCGAUGAAGGACGUGCUAAUCUGCGAAAAGCGUCGGUAAGGUGAUAUGAACCGUUACAGCCGGCGAUGUCCGAAUGGGGAAACCCAGUGCAAUUCGUUGCACUAUCGUUAACUGAAUACAUAGGUUAACGAGGCGAACCGGGGGAACUGAAACAUCUAAGUACCCCGAGGAAAAGAAAUCAACCGAGAUUCCCCCAGUAGCGGCGAGCGAACGGGGAGCAGCCCGGAGUCUGAAUCAGCUUGUGUGUUAGUGGAAGCGUCUGGAAAGUCGCAGGGUACAGGGUGAUACUCCCGUACACUAAAACACACAGGUUGUGAACUCGAAGAGUAGGGCGGGACACGUGGUAUCCUGUCUGAAUAUGGGGGGACCAUCCUCCAAGGCUAAAUACUCCUGACUGACCGAUAGUGAACCAGUACCGUGAGGGAAAGGCGAAAAGAACCCCGGCGAGGGGAGUGAAAAAGAACCUGAAACCGUGUACGUACAAGCAGUAGGAGCCCACUAGUUGGGUGACUGCGUACCUUUUGUAUAAUGGGUCAGCGACUUAUAUUCUGUAGCAAGGUUAACCGAAUAGGGGAGCCGCAGGGAAACCGAGUCUUAACUGGGCGUUAAGUUGCAGGGUAUAGACCCGAAACCCGGUGAUCUAGCCAUGGGCAGGUUGAAGGUUGGGUAACACUAACUGGAGGACCGAACCGACUAAUGUUGAAAAAUUAGCGGAUGACUUGUGGCUGGGGGUGAAAGGCCAAUCAAACCGGGAGAUAGCUGGUUCUCCCCGAAAGCUAUUUAGGUAGCGCCUCGUGAACUCAUCUUCGGGGGUAGAGCACUGUUUCGGCUAGGGGGUCAUCCCGACUUACCAACCCGAUGCAAACUACGAAUACCGAAGAAUGUUAUCACGGGAGACACACGGCGGGUGCUAACGUCCGUCGUGAAGAGGGAAACAACCCAGACCGCCAGCUAAGGUCCCAAAGUCAUGGUUAAGUGGGAAACGAUGUGGGAAGGCCCAGACAGCCAGGAUGUUGGCUUAGAAGCAGCCAUCAUUUAAAGAAAGCGUAAUAGCUCACUGGUCGAGUCGGCCUGCGCGGAAGAUGUAACGGGGCUAAACCAUGCACCGAAGCUGCGGCAGCGACGCUUAUGCGUUGUUGGGUAGGGGAGCGUUCUGUAAGCCGUUGAAGGUGGCCUGUGAGGGUUGCUGGAGGUAUCAGAAGUGCGAAUGCUGACAUAAGUAACGAUAAUGCGGGUGAAAAACCCGCACGCCGGAAGACCAAGGGUUCCUGUCCAACGUUAAUCGGGGCAGGGUGAGUCGACCCCUAAGGCGAGGCCGAAAGGCGUAGUCGAUGGGAAACAGGUUAAUAUUCCUGUACUUGGUGUUACUGCGAAGGGGGGACGGAGAAGGCUAUGUUGGCCGGGCGACGGUUGUCCCGGUUUAAGCAUGUAGGCGGAUGUUCCAGGUAAAUCCGGAACGUCACUAACGCUGAGGUGUGAUGACGAGGCACUACGGUGCUGAAGUGACAAAUGCCCUGCUUCCAGGAAAAGCCUCUAAGCAUCAGGUAACAUCAAAUCGUACCCCAAACCGACACAGGUGGUCAGGUAGAGAAUACCAAGGCGCUUGAGAGAACUCGGGUGAAGGAACUAGGCAAAAUGGUGCCGUAACUUCGGGAGAAGGCACGCUGAUGGUAGGUGAAGCGACUUGCUCGUGGAGCUGAAAUCAGUCGAAGAUACCAGCUGGCUGCAACUGUUUAUUAAAAACACAGCACUGUGCAAACACGAAAGUGGACGUAUACGGUGUGACGCCUGCCCGGUGCCGGAAGGUUAAUUGAUGGGGUUAUCCUCACGGAGAAGCUCUUGAUCGAAGCCCCGGUAAACGGCGGCCGUAACUAUAACGGUCCUAAGGUAGCGAAAUUCCUUGUCGGGUAAGUUCCGACCUGCACGAAUGGCGUAAUGAUGGCCAGGCUGUCUCCACCCGAGACUCAGUGAAAUUGAACUCGCUGUGAAGAUGCAGUGUACCCGCGGCAAGACGGAAAGACCCCGUGAACCUUUACUAUAGCUUGACACUGAACACUGGUCCUUGAUGUGUAGGAUAGGUGGGAGGCUUUGAAGUGUGGACGCCAGUCUGCAUGGAGCCGUCCUUGAAAUACCACCCUUUAAUGGCUGGUGUUCUAACGUGGGCCCGUAAUCCGGGUUGCGGACAGUGUCUGGUGGGUAGUUUGACUGGGGCGGUCUCCUCCUAAAGAGUAACGGAGGAGCACGAAGGUCAGCUAAUCCUGGUCGGACAUCAGGAGGUUAGUGCAAUGGCAUAAGCUGGCUUGACUGCGAGCGUGACGGCGCGAGCAGGUGCGAAAGCAGGUCAUAGUGAUCCGGUGGUUCUGAAUGGAAGGGCCAUCGCUCAACGGAUAAAAGGUACUCCGGGGAUAACAGGCUGAUACCGCCCAAGAGUUCAUAUCGACGGCGGUGUUUGGCACCUCGAUGUCGGCUCAUCACAUCCUGGGGCUGAAGUAGGUCCCAAGGGUAUGGCUGUUCGCCAUUUAAAGUGGUACGCGAGCUGGGUUUAGAACGUCGUGAGACAGUUCGGUCCCUAUCUGCCGUGGGCGCUGGAGAAUUGAGGGGGGCUGCUCCUAGUACGAGAGGACCGGAGUGGACGCAUCACUGGUGUUCGGGUUGUCAUGCCAAUGGCAUUGCCCGGUAGCUAAAUGCGGAAGAGAUAAGUGCUGAAAGCAUCUAAGCACGAAACUUGCCCCGAGAUGAGUUCUCCCUGACUCCUUGAGAGUCCUGAAGGAACGUUGAAGACGACGACGUUGAUAGGCCGGGUGUGUAAGCGCAGCGAUGCGUUGAGCUAACCGGUACUAAUGAACCGUGAGGCUUAACCUU